Molecule: long non-coding RNA, 820 nt
Organism: Bombus impatiens (common eastern bumble bee)
Lineage: Eukaryota; Metazoa; Arthropoda; Insecta; Hymenoptera; Apidae
Exons: 2
Source: RefSeq, a predicted model, not a curated record
ACUUUUAUGUAACUACAAAAAUUUGUUACUAUGAGAAUGAAAUAGAGAACCUGAUAAUAGAACGCUUUAUUGGAAAAUGAGGAUAUGUGUAAAAGUACGUUUCGUAAGCACUGUAUAUCGUUUUCAGCUGCUAUAUAAACGCAAUAAACGCAGAAAGGACAAAUCCAGCAGGCAGAUCCACUAUCUGGCGCAGAACAGAACUAUACGUCAAUCGAGUGAUGGAGCAGCGGUUUGGUUAUAAUUGGAUCAGUUUAGUUAGGUAUUGCAAAUAUUGGCAGCCAGGGAAGCUGGCGACCCAGUGAUGAAACCUAAUUGGUGUUGGUGUACGUGAAAAUGAAAAUGGAGGUUGGGGAAUUCGUUCGAGCGACUGGUUUAAUUGGACUGCAAUGUUGCGAUGGGACGCGACUACGCGACGUCCAAAUUGCAUUGGAAGAGGAACGGACCGGCCACGGACCACGAGAGGGGAAUGAUGAUGAGAGAUACCAGAGAAAGGGAUAAUUAGAAUUACCUAAACAAGGGAAUAGUGAAGAAGAAGCAACCAUAAAAUACAUAAUUACAAAACAUACAAACGAAUACACUUAAGAGUAUGAUGUAAAUCAAUGUAAAUACAAAUUUGGCAGAAAUUUAACACAGACUUCUAAUAAAUUUUGAUUUUGAUUGAAUACUUUAACACAAACUAUUUCGAAGACUUUUUAUAUUUUAUUGAAAUUAAAUAGUAUUUAGAAUGAUUAAAAUGCAGAUAUAGAAUCUUAAAUAAUUGUAAGAAGAAUUCUAAAAUAUACUCCCAUCGUUGCACGUAACGACGCAUGGUUUUGUAAUA